Molecule: non-coding RNA, 223 nt
Filed under: human gut metagenome
Source: RNAcentral
UUUGGUUCUCCGUACAAUAGAAAACUGUUGAAGCGAGCUAAGAUGGGAAUGCAGUGAGAAUCUGCGACAUUACCCGAUGCUGUGAGUCCUUUUUUAAAGGUCUGCCGAUAAUUAUCACUGGGUGUUUAACCAUAGCUAAUGAGAGUUAGUUUACAGUGGUUGAUGAUUCAUCUGGGAAGAUAGAGCAGAUUGAGGAUGAAGUCAGAAGACCUGCCAUUUGCCA